AUUGAACGCUGGCGGCAUGCCUUACACAUGCAAGUCGAACGGCAGCAUGAUCUAGCUUGCUAGAUUGAUGGCGAGUGGCGAACGGGUGAGUAAUACAUCGGAACGUGCCCUGUAGUGGGGGAUAACUAGUCGAAAGAUUAGCUAAUACCGCAUACGACCUGAGGGUGAAAGUGGGGGGCCGCAAGGCCUCAUGCUAUAGGAGCGGCCGAUGUCUGAUUAGCUAGUUGGUGAGGUAAAGGCUCACCAAGGCGACGAUCAGUAGCUGGUCUGAGAGGACGAUCAGCCACACUGGGACUGAGACACGGCCCAGACUCCUACGGGAGGCAGCAGUGGGGAAUUUUGGACAAUGGGGGCAACCCUGAUCCAGCAAUGCCGCGUGUGUGAAGAAGGCCUUCGGGUUGCAAAGCACUUUUGUCCGGAAAGAAAUCGCACUUACUAAUAUUAGGUGUGGAUGACGGUACCGGAAGAAUAAGGACCGGCUAACUACGUGCCAGCAGCCGCGGUAAGAC
RNAcentral lists this ribosomal RNA (509 nucleotides) under uncultured bacterium. RNAcentral describes it as "bacterial SSU rRNA". It matches the Rfam family "Bacterial small subunit ribosomal RNA", at positions 30 to 526 of the family's 1533-position model. The record is from RNAcentral.